AUUGCUUCUCAGCCUUUUGGCUACGAUCAAGUGUAGUAUCUCUUCUUAUCAGUUUAAUAUGUCCUCUGUCUGAGGACAAUAUAUUAAGUAGAUUUUGGGAAUUAGGAGAUGGAAUAAGGAGCUUGCUUCAUCCACUCCACACAUCAACCUGGGAUUGCAGUACCUCCAGGAAGGCUGUAUGGUGG
Molecule: small nuclear RNA, 185 nt
Organism: Pipistrellus kuhlii (Kuhl's pipistrelle)
Lineage: Eukaryota; Metazoa; Chordata; Mammalia; Chiroptera; Vespertilionidae
Product: U2 spliceosomal RNA
Exons: 1
Source: RefSeq, a predicted model, not a curated record